UGGGGAAUAUUGCACAAUGGGCGCAAGCCUGAUGCAGCCAUGCCGCGUGUAUGAAGAAGGCCUUCGGGUUGUAAAGUACUUUCAGCGGGGAGGAAGGGAGUAAAGUUAAUACCUUUGCUCAUUGACGUUACCCGCAGAAGAAGCACCGGCUAACUCCGUGCCAGCAGCCGCGGUAAUACGGAGGGUGCAAGCGUUAAUCGGAAUUACUGGGCGUAAAGCGCACGCAGGCGGUUUGUUAAGUCAGAUGUGAAAUCCGCGGGCUCAACCUGGGAACUGCAUCUGAUACUGGCAAGCUUGAGUCUCGUAGAGGGGGGUAGAAUUCCAGGUGUAGCGGUGAAAUGCGUAGAGAUCAGGAGGAAUACCGGAGGCGAAGGCGGCCCCCUGGACGAAAACUGACGCUCAGGUGCGAAAGCGUGGGGAGCAAACAGG
This 429-nucleotide ribosomal RNA is filed under the name Chloroflexota bacterium. Its description in RNAcentral is "Chloroflexi bacterium partial 16S ribosomal RNA". It matches the Rfam family "Bacterial small subunit ribosomal RNA", at positions 355 to 776 of the family's 1533-position model. The record is from RNAcentral. Lineage: Bacteria; Bacillati; Chloroflexota.